ACGAACGCUGGCGGCGUGCUUAACACCUGCAAGUCGCACGGAAAGGCCCUGCUUUUGUGGGGUGCUCGCGUGGCGAACGGGUGAGUAACACGUGAGUAACCUGCCCUUGACUUUGGGAUAACUUCAGGAAACUGGGGCUAAUACCGGAUAGGAGCUCCUGCUGCAUGGUGGGGGUUGGAAAGUUUCGGCGGUUGGGGAUGGACUCGCGGCUUAUCAGCUUGUUGGUGGGGUAGUGGCUUACCAAGGCUUUGACGGGUAGCCGGCCUGAGAGGGUGACCGGCCACAUUGGGACUGAGAUACGGCCCAGACUCCUACGGGAGGCAGCAGUGGGGAAUAUUGAACAAUGGGCGGAAGCCUGAUGCAGCAACGCCGCGUGCGGGAUGACGGCCUUCGGGUUGUAAACCGCUUUCGCCUGUGACGAAGCGUGAGUGACGGUAAUGUGUAAAGAAGCACCGGCUAACUACGUG
This 467-nucleotide ribosomal RNA is filed under the name uncultured bacterium. RNAcentral describes it as "partial 16S ribosomal RNA". It matches the Rfam family "Bacterial small subunit ribosomal RNA", at positions 29 to 507 of the family's 1533-position model. The record is from RNAcentral.